This 371-nucleotide RNase P RNA is filed under the name bovine gut metagenome. RNAcentral's name for it is "Bacterial RNase P class A". It matches the Rfam family "Bacterial RNase P class A". Rfam says of the family: Ribonuclease P (RNase P) is a ubiquitous endoribonuclease, found in archaea, bacteria and eukarya as well as chloroplasts and mitochondria. The record is from RNAcentral.
GGUCGCUGUCGAAAGGCAGAGGAAAGUCCGGACUCCGCAGGGCGGGGGAUCCGCGUGUCAAGCGCGGAAGGCGCGCGGCAAACGCGCGCGAUGGAAAGCGCCACAGAAAACAGGUAGCCGUCGGUUCGGACUAGUCUCCGUCCGGCGGUGAUAGUGAAAAGGCGGGGCAAGAGCCCACCGUGCCGCAUGAAACGGCGGCUGCAAGGCAAGCCCUCCCCGGAGCAAGAUCAAAUAGGGAACCGACCGGCGGCCCGUCGGGUGGCGUUCGUUUUGAAGCGCCUAAGGUUUCGGGUUGAUUGCUCAGAUGAAUGAUCGGAUCUCGCGUUAGCGCAAAACGCUGCGCGGGAGAACAGAAUCCGGCUUAUUCGCCG